GACGAACGCUGGCGGCGUGCUUAACACAUGCAAGUCGAACGGAAAGGCCCUUCGGGGUACUCGAGUGGCGAACGGGUGAGUAACACGUGGGUGAUCUGCCCUGCACUUUGGGAUAAGCCUGGGAAACUGGGUCUAAUACCGGAUAGGACCCUGGGAUGCAUGUCCUGGGGUGGAAAGCUUUUGCGGUGUGGGAUGGGCCCGCGGCCUAUCAGCUUGUUGGCGGGGUGAUGGCCUACCAAGGCGACGACGGGUAGCCGGCCUGAGAGGGUGACCGGCCACACUGGGACUGAGAUACGGCCCAGACUCCUACGGGAGGCAGCAGUGGGGAAUAUUGCACAAUGGGCGCAAGCCUGAUGCAGCGACGCCGCGUGAGGGAUGACGGCCUUCGGGUUGUAAACCUCUUUCAGCACCGACGAAGCGCAAGUGACGGUAGGUGCAGAAGAAGGACCGGCCAACUACGUGCCAGCCGCCGCAGUAA
RNAcentral lists this ribosomal RNA (478 nucleotides) under uncultured bacterium. RNAcentral's name for it is "partial 16S ribosomal RNA". It matches the Rfam family "Bacterial small subunit ribosomal RNA", at positions 28 to 523 of the family's 1533-position model. The record is from RNAcentral.